Molecule: long non-coding RNA, 583 nt
Filed under: Hordeum vulgare
Lineage: Eukaryota; Viridiplantae; Streptophyta; Magnoliopsida; Poales; Poaceae
Description: long non-coding RNA (HVUL_LNC013292)
Source: RNAcentral
CGUCUCGUGUGGGAUUCAGGGGCGCCGCAGGGGAUGUCCUUUUCGUUCUUCGGCGCAACGGCCGGUGCAAGGCCUCGAAAUCGGCAGGCGAUAUAUGGGAAAUGGUCCACAGCAGAUCCAUCCACACGCAUGUGUGAUCGAUCGGGUGCAUGAUGAUGGCCUUUGGCUGUCCCUCCGUCCAUCCAGCUGCCGCUCUCGUGAGUUAUCUCGACGGUGGAGUUUUGCGUUGUCGAGAUGUGUCCAGAACGGACAGCUAGCGCGAGAAACUAUGGAAACUCUUGGAUUUCGUAGAUCCUUUCGCGCUCUGAAACUGAAAAGCAGUUCCCGGAAUCGUUUCCUGGUGCACCGGUCGACAUGCCAACGUAAGAUCACCUGAGUACCUUUGCUACGUGAAUUAGUGAGCGAGUUUUUUCUUUUAAAACCUCGUCAGGGAGUUAGUUUGUUGGAUCAACUUUGCAAAUCGAUCUGUACUACGUAGCAUUCUAUUGAUCUAGUAGUUAACUUACAAAAGACAAGAGGCUAACUAUUAUUGCGCCGCGGGAGGACGUCAUUCGUAGGGGGCCGGGUGCAGCAGCGUUGCCUG